UCUCUUCUCAUCUCAUGACAAGUGCUUAACGAGCAAAUCCUAUCACAAAAGUAGCAGACAAGUUCCUUGAUGGGUGCGCAAGAACACAUCUCCCCAUGUACUACUAACACAUAAAAUAAUCAGCACUGAGGAGAAUAUAUUGAGUUAAGAUGCUGCAAUCCCCAACAACAAAUACUUUCGGUUGCAUGUGAUUUCGGGCCUUGUGUUGAUGAGUACUGCUAAGCCUUCAACGUCUUACCUGUUGGAGCUCUACACAUACUUUAGCUUCUCUUCAUUUCCUGUGUUGUUCGCAAGAUGAAACCAAUUACUUGAAGCUCUUCGUUGUGUUGAUGAGUGCUGCUAAGCCUUCAACGUCUUACCUGUUGGAGCUCUACACAUGCUUUAGCUUCUCUUCCUUUCCUGUGUUGUUCGCAAGAUGAAACCAAUUACUUGAAGCUCUUCG
This 442-nucleotide long non-coding RNA is filed under the name Musa acuminata (dwarf banana). RNAcentral describes it as "long non-coding RNA (MACU_LNC001158)". The record is from RNAcentral. Lineage: Eukaryota; Viridiplantae; Streptophyta; Magnoliopsida; Zingiberales; Musaceae.